AACGAACGCUGGCGGCAUGCCUAACACAUGCAAGUCGAACGAGACCUUCGGGUCUAGUGGCGCACGGGUGCGUAACGCGUGGGAACCUGCCCUUAGGUUCGGAAUAACUCCCCGAAAGGGGUGCUAAUACCGGAUAAUGUCUUCGGGCCAAAGAUUUAUCGCCUUUGGAUGGGCCCGCGUUGGAUUCGCUAGUUGGUAGGGUAAAAGCCUACCAAGGCGACGAUCCAUAGCUGGUCUGAGAGGAUGAUCAGCCACACUGGGACUGAGACACGGCCCAGACUCCUACGGGAGGCAGCAGUGGGGAAUAUUGGACAAUGGGCGAAAGCCUGAUCCAGCAAUGCCGCGUGAGUGAUGAAGGCCUUAGGGUUGUAAAGCUCUUUUACCCGGGAUGAUAAUGACAGUACCGGGAGAAUAAGCUCCGGCUAACUCCGUG
Molecule: ribosomal RNA, 433 nt
Filed under: uncultured bacterium
Lineage: Bacteria
Description: partial 16S ribosomal RNA
Rfam family: Bacterial small subunit ribosomal RNA
Source: RNAcentral